Molecule: ribosomal RNA, 460 nt
Filed under: uncultured bacterium
Lineage: Bacteria
Description: partial 16S ribosomal RNA
Rfam family: Bacterial small subunit ribosomal RNA
Source: RNAcentral
CCUACGGGCGGCAGCAGUGAGGAAUAUUGGUCAAUGGACGAGAGUCUGAACCAGCCAAGUAGCGUGAAUGAUGACUGCCCUAUGGGUUGUAAACUUCUUUUAUAUGGGAAUAAAAUGUUCCACGUGUGGGAUUUUGUAUGUACCAUAUGAAUAAGGAUCGGCUAACUCCGUGCCAGCAGCCGCGGUAAUACGGAGGAUGCGAGCGUUAUACGGAUUUAUUGGGUUUAAAGGGAGCGUAGGUGGAUUGUUAAGUCAGUUGUGAAAGUUUGGGGCUCAACCGGAAAAUUGCAGUUGAAACUGGCAGUCUAGAGUACAGUAGAGGUGGGUGGAAUUCGUGGUGUAGCGGUGAAAUGCGUAGAUAUCAGGAAGAACACCGAUGGCGAAGGCAGCUCACUGGACUGCAACUGACACUGAGGUUCGAAAGUGUGGGUAUCAAACAGGAUUAGAUACCCGAGUAGUC